Oncorhynchus tshawytscha (Chinook salmon) is the source of this 463-nucleotide long non-coding RNA. The record is from Ensembl. Lineage: Eukaryota; Metazoa; Chordata; Actinopteri; Salmoniformes; Salmonidae.
GUGGUGUGUUAAACCUGUAGUACUGUGGUGUGUUAGGUAGUACUGUGGUGUGUUAAACCUGUAGUACUGUGGUGUGUUAGGUAGUACUGUGGUGUGUUAAACCUGUAGUACUGUGGUGUGUUAAACCUGUAGUACUGUGGUGUGUUAAACCUGUAGUACUGUGGUGUGUUAGGUGGUGUGUUAGGUAGUACUGUGGUGUGUUAGGUAGUACUGUGGUGUGUUAGGUAGUACUGUGGUGUGUUAAACCUGUAGUACUGUGGUGUGUUAAACCUGUAGUACUGUGGUGUGUUAGGUAGUUCUGUGGUGUGUUAGGUAGUACUGUGGUGUGUUAGGUAGUACUGUGGUGUGUUAAACCUGUAGUACUGUGGUGUGUUAAACCUGUAGUACUGUGGUGUGUUAGGUAGUACUGUGGUGUGUUAGGUAGUACUGUGGUGUGUUAGGUAGUACUGUGGUGUGUUAGGUA